GACGAACGCUGGCGGCGUGCUUAACACAUGCAAGUCGAACGGAAAGGCCCUGCUUUUGUGGGGUGCUCGAGUGGCGAACGGGUGAGUAACACGUGAGUAACCUGCCCUUGACUUUGGGAUAACUUCAGGAAACUGGGGCUAAUACCGGAUAGGAGCUCCUGCUGCAUGGUGGGGGUUGGAAAGUUUCGGCGGUUGGGGAUGGACUCGCGGCUUAUCAGCUUGUUGGUGGGGUAGUGGCUUACCAAGGCUUUGACGGGUAGCCGGCCUGAGAGGGUGACCGGCCACAUUGGGACUGAGAUACGGCCCAGACUCCUACGGGAGGCAGCAGUGGGGAAUAUUGCACAAUGGGCGGAAGCCUGAUGCAGCAACGCCGCGUGCGGGAUGACAGCCUUCGGGUUGUAAGCCGCUUUCGCCUGUGACGAAGCGUGAGUGACGGUAAUGGGUAAAGAAGCACCGGCUAACUACGUG
Molecule: ribosomal RNA, 468 nt
Filed under: uncultured bacterium
Lineage: Bacteria
Description: partial 16S ribosomal RNA
Rfam family: Bacterial small subunit ribosomal RNA
Source: RNAcentral